ACGCUCGUAGCUCAAUUGGCAGAGCAGGAUCCUUCUAAGGUCUUGGUUGGGGGUUCGAGUCCCUUCGGGCGUGCCA
This 76-nucleotide transfer RNA is filed under the name Microbulbifer hydrolyticus. Its description in RNAcentral is "tRNA-Arg". It matches the Rfam family "tRNA". Rfam says of the family: Transfer RNA (tRNA) molecules are approximately 80 nucleotides in length. Their secondary structure includes four short double-helical elements and three loops (D, anti-codon, and T loops). The record is from RNAcentral. Lineage: Bacteria; Pseudomonadati; Pseudomonadota; Gammaproteobacteria; Cellvibrionales; Microbulbiferaceae.